This 2095-nucleotide ribosomal RNA is filed under the name human gut metagenome. Its description in RNAcentral is "bacterial LSU rRNA". It matches the Rfam family "Bacterial large subunit ribosomal RNA", at positions 831 to 2925 of the family's 2925-position model. The record is from RNAcentral.
AAUCAAACCCGGAGAUAUCUCGUUCUCCCCGAAAUAGCUUUAGGGCUAGCCUCGGCCGUUCUCCGACGGCGGUAGAGCACUGGAUCGUCGAGGGGGCUUCACCGCCUACCGACACGAACCAAACUCCGAAUGCCGCCGGAUCAGAGGCCGGGAGUCAGAACAUGUGGGCUAAGCUGUGUGUUCGAGAGGGAAACAGCCCAGACCGCCCGCUAAGGUCCCCAAGUUUAUGCUGAGUGGCAAAGGAUGUGCGUUUGCCUAGACAACCAGGAUGUUGGCUUAGAAGCAGCCAUGCAUUUAAAGAGUGCGUAACAGCUCACUGGUCAAGUGGACAUGCGCCGACAAUUCACGGGGCUAAGCAUAACACCGAAGCGGCGGACUAAUCUAUAUUAGUGGUAGGGGAGCUUUCCCCGCAGCGGAGAAGCCGAGAGGGCGACCCUCGGUGGAGCGCGGGGAAGUGAGAAUGCUGGCAUGAGUAACGAGAGCGGCGCGAGAAACGCCGCCGCCGUAAGCCUAAGGGUUCCUGGGCAAGGCUAAUCCUCCCAGGGUCAGUCGGGAGCUAAGGCGAGGCCGAGAGGCGUAGCCGAUGCGCAACAGGCGGACAUUCCUGUACCGCCUGCGGACCGCUAUCACCGACGGGGUGACGGAGAAGGGUAGCCGAGCGGGGUUCUGGACGUCCCCGUGAAAGCGCGUAGGGAGCAUCGCAUGGAAAUCAGCGGCGCAUAUAUCCUGAGACGCGAGACGAAAGCUUAUGCUGAAGUCGGCGAGCCCAUGCUUCCGAGAAAAACCUCUAGGAAGGGACGCAGGCGCCCGUACCAAAACCGACACAGGUGGGCAGGUAGAGCAUACCGAGGCGAUCGGGAGAACCAUGGUUAAGGAACUCGGCAUACUGACUCCGUAACUUCGGGAGAAGGAGUGCCCCUGGCGGUGACGGGACUAGCUCCCCGAGCGGCCGGGGGUCGCAGCGAAACGGCCCAAGCGACUGUUUAUCAAAAACACAGGACUCUGCAAAGCCGUAAGGCGACGUAUAGGGUCUGACGCCUGCCCGGUGCUGGAAGGUUACGCGGAUGGGUCAGCCGCAAGGCGAAGCUCUGAAGCCAAGCCCCAGUAAACGGCGGCCGUAACUAUAACGGUCCUAAGGUAGCGAAAUUCCUUGUCGGGUAAGUUCCGACCUGCACGAAUGGCGUAACGAUUUGGGCGCUGUCUCAACCAUGGACCCGGUGAAAUUGUAUUAUUCGUGAAGAUGCGAAUUACCUGCGGAAGGACGGAAAGACCCCGUGAACCUUUACUGCAGCUUGACAUUGAUCGUUGGCUCGGCGCGUAGAGGAUAGGCAGGAGGCUGCGAAGCCCGGGCGCCAGCCCGGGCGGAGCCGACCUUGGAAUACUGCCCUCGUCGCGUCGGCGAUCUAACCCCCGGCCGUGAUCCGGCGGGGGGACCGUGUCAGGCGGGUAGUUUGACUGGGGCGGUCGCCUCCCAAAACGUAACGGAGGCGCGCAAAGGUCCGCUCAGAACGGUCGGCAACCGUUCGCAGAGCGCAAGAGUACAAGCGGGCUUGACUGCGAGGCCCACAAGCCGAGCAGAGACGAAAGUCGGUUCUAGUGAUCCGGCGGCACAGAGUGGAAUGGCCGUCGCUCAACGGAUAAAAGGUACUCCGGGGAUAACAGGCUGAUCUUGCCCAAGAGUCCACAUCGACGGCAAGGUUUGGCACCUCGAUGUCGGCUCAUCGCAUCCUGGGGCUGGAGCAGGUCCCAAGGGUACGGCUGUUCGCCGUUUAAAGCGGUACGCGAGCUGGGUUCAGAACGUCGUGAGACAGUUCGGUCCCUAUCCUCCGCAGGCGCAAGAGGAUUGAGGAGGUCUGCCCCUAGUACGAGAGGACCGGGGUGGACGGACCUCUGGUGCAGCAGUUGUCGACCAACGGCACGGCUGCCUAGCUACGUCCGGCACGGAUAACCGCUGAAAGCAUCUAAGUGGGAAGCCGUCUCCAAGAUGAGUCCUCUUUCCGGUAAGGGCCCAGGCAGAACACCUGGUCGAUAGGCCGCAGGUGCAAGGCGUGCGAGCGCCUCAGCCGAGCGGUACUAAUAGCCCGAGCUCUUCUUC